CCGGCUACGGAUGGUCAUGCGUCGCAUUAGCUAGUUGGCGGGGUAACGGCCCACCAAGGCGACGAUGCGUAGGGGUUCUGAGAGGAAGGUCCCCCACACUGGUACUGAGACACGGACCAGACUCCUACGGGAGGCAGCAGUGAGGAAUAUUGGUCAAUGGCCGCAGGGCUGAACCAGCCAAGUCGCGUGAGGGAUGACGGUCCUAUGGAUUGUAAACCUCUUUUGUCAGGGAGCAAAGGGCGCCACGUGUGGCGCUUUGCGAGUACCUGAAGAAAAAGCAUCGGCUAACUCCGUGCCAGCAGCCGCGGUAAUACGGAGGAUGCGAGCGUUAUCCGGAUUUAUUGGGUUUAAAGGGUGCGCAGGCGGAAUGUCAAGUCAGCGGCAAAAUUUCGGGGCUCAACCCCGUCGUGCCGUUGAAACUGGCGUUCUUGAGUGAGCGAGAAGUAUGCGGAAUGCGUGGUGUAGCGGUGAAAUGCAUAGAUAUCACGCAGAACUCCGAUUGCGAAGGCAGCAUACCGGCGCUCAACUGACGCUCAUGCACGAAAGCGUGGGUAUCGAACAGGAUUAGAUACCCUGGUAGUCCACGCAGU
This 590-nucleotide ribosomal RNA is filed under the name uncultured bacterium. Its description in RNAcentral is "bacterial SSU rRNA". It matches the Rfam family "Bacterial small subunit ribosomal RNA", at positions 215 to 803 of the family's 1533-position model. The record is from RNAcentral.